This 76-nucleotide transfer RNA is filed under the name Mesocricetus auratus (golden hamster). It matches the Rfam family "tRNA". Rfam says of the family: Transfer RNA (tRNA) molecules are approximately 80 nucleotides in length. Their secondary structure includes four short double-helical elements and three loops (D, anti-codon, and T loops). The record is from Rfam by way of RNAcentral. Lineage: Eukaryota; Metazoa; Chordata; Mammalia; Rodentia; Cricetidae.
GACCAGCUGGCUCAAUGGGUAGAGUAUGAGACUCUUAAUCUCAGGGUCGUGGGUUUUUUGUGCCCCACGUUGGGCA